Molecule: unclassified non-coding RNA, 352 nt
Filed under: soil metagenome
Description: partial contains 5.8S ribosomal RNA, internal transcribed spacer 2, and large subunit ribosomal RNA
Rfam family: 5.8S ribosomal RNA (bases 1-120)
Source: RNAcentral
GAUGAAGAACGCAGCGAAAUGCGAUAAGUAAUGUGAAUUGCAGAAUUCAGUGAAUCAUCGAAUCUUUGAACGCACAUUGCGCCCCCCAGUAUUCUGGCGGGCAUGCCUGUUCGAGCGUCAUUACAACCCUCAGGCCCCCGGGCCUGGCGUUGGGGAUCGGCGGAGCCCCCCGUGGGCACACGCCGUCCCCCAAAUGCAGUGGCGGUCCCGCCGCAGCUUCCAUCGCGUAGUAGCUAACACCUCGCGACUGGAGAGCGGCGCGGCCACGCCGUAAAACACCCAACUCUUCUGAAGUUGACCUCGAAUCAGGUAGGAAUACCCGCUGAACUUAAGCAUAUCAAUAAGCGGAGGA